CAAUACGAAUAAUGUUAAUGCCUUUACA
RNAcentral lists this small RNA (28 nucleotides) under Bombyx mori (domestic silkworm). RNAcentral's name for it is "piRNA piR-bmo-1335700". The record is from RNAcentral. Lineage: Eukaryota; Metazoa; Arthropoda; Insecta; Lepidoptera; Bombycidae.